Molecule: ribosomal RNA, 497 nt
Filed under: uncultured bacterium
Lineage: Bacteria
Description: partial 16S ribosomal RNA
Rfam family: Bacterial small subunit ribosomal RNA
Source: RNAcentral
GAUGAACGCUGGCGGCGUGCCUAAUACAUGCAAGUCGAGCGAACAGACGAGGAGCUUGCUCCUCUGACGUUAGCGGCGGACGGGUGAGUAACACGUGGAUACCCUACCUAUAAGACUGGGAUAACUUCGGGAAACCGGAGCUAAUACCGGAUAAUAUAUUGAACCGCAUGGUUCAAUAGUGAAAGACGGUUUUGCUGUCACUUAUAGAUGGAUCCGCGCCGCAUUAGCUAGUUGGUAAGGUAACGGCUUACCAAGGCAACGAUGCGUAGCCGACCUGAGAGGGUGAUCGGCCACACUGGAACUGAGACACGGACCAGAGUCCUACGGGAGGCAGCAGUAGGGAAUCUGCCGCAAUGGGCGAAAGCCUGACGGAGCAACGCCGCGUGAGUGAUGAAGGUCUUCGGAUCGUAAAACUCUGUUAUUAGUGAAGAACAAAUGUGUAAGUAACUAUGCACGUCUUGACGGUACCUAAUCAGAAAGCCACGGCUAACUACGUG